RNAcentral lists this small RNA (28 nucleotides) under Bombyx mori (domestic silkworm). RNAcentral's name for it is "ovarian small RNA-25586". The record is from RNAcentral. Lineage: Eukaryota; Metazoa; Arthropoda; Insecta; Lepidoptera; Bombycidae.
UCAGACACAAUCUCGCAGUUAUGUGAUA